RNAcentral lists this ribosomal RNA (319 nucleotides) under Shewanella sp. 4t3-1-2LB. RNAcentral's name for it is "partial 23S ribosomal RNA". It matches the Rfam family "Bacterial large subunit ribosomal RNA", at positions 2053 to 2371 of the family's 2925-position model. The record is from RNAcentral. Lineage: Bacteria; Pseudomonadati; Pseudomonadota; Gammaproteobacteria; Alteromonadales; Shewanellaceae.
GUGAAGAUGCCGUAUACCCGCGGCUAGACGGAAAGACCCCGUGAACCUUUACUAUAGCUUGGCACUGAACAUUGACCCUGCAUGUGUAGGAUAGGUGGGAGACUAUGAAGAUGGGACGCCAGUCCUGAUGGAGUCGACCUUGAAAUACCACCCUUGCAGUGUUGAUGUUCUAACCUGGGUCCCUGAACGGGAUUAGGGACAGUGCCUGGUGGGUAGUUUGACUGGGGCGGUCUCCUCCUAAAGCGUAACGGAGGAGCACGAAGGUUGGCUAAGUACGGUCGGACAUCGUACGGUUAGUGUAAUGGCACAAGCCAGCUUA